CUCUGCACUAAACAUUCUUUGAGUGAUGAUAUAACUGGGGUAUUGAAGUGAUCCCUUUUCCUUCAGGCGCUUGAAAUGGCGAUUCACGAUGUCAGUAUCUACUUUAUUGGUUAUUAAUGCUGGUUACUUCGUGUAUGGAUUGGUUUAAACAUAUCUAAUAGACAUUGCAUAACGGCAUAUGUACGUAUGAGAGCAUGAACAUUGAAGUGAUUGGACUAGAAAACGGGCUAUAUUCUACGAAGAUGAAAAACAAGCGAGUGGAAAAACACGAUCCAUGUCUUGUGGUUUUCACAACUGGAAGAGAAGUUGGACAAAGCCAUAAGCCAGGGGAAUUUUACCGAGGCUGAGAAAUUGAGUGAUCAAAUGUCCCAAGAAGAACUUGCUGUUAAGAUAACUGAAGCAAUAAGUACAAGAGAUUCCCAAAAGGCAAACAAUUCUAAUAUAAAAUGGAAUAAAUCCAAAAGAAAGGAAACAUUACUUUGGGAUUUCAACAGAAAGAAAGAUGGAAGAGCAAAGGAAAUAUGUAAAAUGAAAGAUAUAGCUUACAAGGUUGGAAAUAUGUUGAAAUUGUUUGUAUUUGACAUUUUUAUUCCUGGCAACUUGAUAUGUAAUUUUGAUAAUAAAGUGAUUUUAUAAA
Molecule: long non-coding RNA, 637 nt
Organism: Xenia sp. Carnegie-2017
Lineage: Eukaryota; Metazoa; Cnidaria; Anthozoa; Malacalcyonacea; Xeniidae
Exons: 2
Source: RefSeq, a predicted model, not a curated record